RNAcentral lists this ribosomal RNA (203 nucleotides) under uncultured fungus. Its description in RNAcentral is "partial small subunit ribosomal RNA". The stretch from base 95 to 203 matches the Rfam family "Eukaryotic small subunit ribosomal RNA", at positions 749 to 864 of the family's 1831-position model. Lineage: Eukaryota; Fungi. The record is from RNAcentral.
GGCCAGUCUUGUGCUGUGCAGUUUGCCGGUACCAGGCUUGGUCAUCCGUAGGGGAAUCCCGUUCGGCCUUCACUGGUCGGCGGGUGGAACCUACAAUUUACUGUGAAAAAAUUAGAGUGUUUCAGGCAGGCUUUCGCUUGGAUACUCCAGCAUGGAAUAAUGGAAUAGGACUUUGGUCUAUUUGUUGGUUUGAGAUCAAAGUA